Molecule: ribosomal RNA, 838 nt
Filed under: uncultured haloarchaeon
Lineage: Archaea; Methanobacteriati; Methanobacteriota; Halobacteria; Halobacteriales; Halobacteriaceae
Description: bacterial SSU rRNA
Rfam family: Archaeal small subunit ribosomal RNA
Source: RNAcentral
CGAGUUCAUACUCGUGGCGAAAAGCUCAGUAACACGUGGCCAAACUACCCUACAGAGAACGAUAACCUCGGGAAACUGAGGCUAAUAGUUCAUACGGGAGUCAUGCUGGAAUGCCGACUCCCCGAAACGCUCAGGCGCUGUAGGAUGUGGCUGCGGCCGAUUAGGUAGACGGUGGGGUAACGGCCCACCGUGCCGAUAAUCGGUACGGGUUGUGAGAGCAAGAGCCCGGAGACGGAAUCUGAGACAAGAUUCCGGGCCCUACGGGGCGCAGCAGGCGCGAAACCUUUACACUGCACGCAAGUGCGAUAAGGGGACCCCAAGUGCGAGGGCAUAUAGUCCUCGCUUUUCUCGACCGUAAGGCGGUCGAGGAAUAAGAGCUGGGCAAGACCGGUGCCAGCCGCCGCGGUAAUACCGGCAGCUCAAGUGAUGACCGAUAUUAUUGGGCCUAAAGCGUCCGUAGCCGGCCACGAAGGUUCAUCGGGAAAUCCGCCAGCUCAACUGGCGGGCGUCCGGUGAAAACCACGUGGCUUGGGGCCGGAAGGCUCGAAGGGUACGUCCGGGGUAGGAGUGAAAUCCCGUAAUCCUGGACGGACCACCGAUGGCGAAAGCACCUCGAGAAGACGGAUCCGACGGUGAGGGACGAAAGCUAGGGUCUCGAACCGGAUUAGAUACCCGGGUAGUCCUAGCUGUAAACGAUGCUCGCUAGGUGUGACACAGGCUACGAGCCUGUGUUGUGCCGUAGGGAAGCCGAGAAGCGAGCCGCCUGGGAAGUACGUCCGCAAGGAUGAGACUUAAAGGAAUUGGCGGGGGAGCACUACAACCAGAGGAGCCUGCGGUA